Manihot esculenta (cassava) is the source of this 843-nucleotide long non-coding RNA. RefSeq lists it as uncharacterized. The record is from RefSeq and is a predicted model, not a curated record. NCBI's taxonomy places the organism in Eukaryota, Viridiplantae, Streptophyta, Magnoliopsida, Malpighiales, Euphorbiaceae. The transcript is spliced from 2 exons.
AAUGUCGUCUCCCUCAUCGUCUUCCGAGAUAAACGUGGUUCAGGCAGGUGCUGUGACAUCGGCGAUCCGUCUACGUUUCGCCAACCUAGGAAGCCCCACCUCGUUCCACGUGGGUCCCUCACUGGGAGAAUUUUUGUCUCCGUUUUCAUCCAUUCUCUGAGGUUCGAUCCUCGCCAUGCCGUCGCUCGUCCAUUGUUCCCUGCCCCAUCCAAGUGAAAGACGACUCUUUCUAAUCCAUUUAAUUUGUAGGUUUCUUCCUUCCUCUUUUUGGGUGGGUGUAUAAUUUUUGUUUGGUUUUGUUACAGAUUUGAGCUAUACAGUGAGGGUUUUUUUAAAUCCACUGGAGUUUAUUUUCCUUGUGGUUUGGUUUUUUCAGAGACAAAGCAAAUCUGAGACUUGUGGAUCCUAAAAAUGGUGUUGCGUGCAUCAAUCUAGGAAAAAUUGUUUUUUCUGUGUUUUGCUUUGUCCUGUUGGUUCCUUUUGCAGGGUUUUCUUUUGGGAAGCUUAAAUCUAGGCUCUUUUCCUUGCUUCGACAAAGGUUUCAAGUGGCAGUGAUUCGUUGAAUUCAGAGAAUUUCAGAAGACGCGAGUGGGUAGCUGAAGAGCACAUCGUCUCCACCCUUGUUCGUGUUCAUUUGAUAGAUUUGUUGCUUCUUGGCCCUUGGCUGGGCGCUAUUGACGCAACGGUUCGGUUUGAACUGUGAACCGGAUCGAUCAAAUCCGAAAUUGAACUGAAAUUUUAGACUAAAAAGCCAGUUGCGGUUUUUUCUGUGAUCCAGAAUCGAAAUCGAUUAAUUUGAACCAAUAAUCCCAUUUAAUUCUGAUUUGAUUUUUUAUUUUUUAA